UACGGAGGGUGCAAGCGUUAUCCGGAUUCACUGGGUUUAAAGGGUGCGUAGGAGGGCAGGUAAGUCAGUGGUGAAAUCUCCAAGCUUAACUUGGAAACUGCCGUUGAUACUAUCUGUCUUGAAUACCGUGGAGGUGAGCGGAAUAUGUCAUGUAGCGGUGAAAUGCUUAGAUAUGACAUAGAACACCAAUUGCGAAGGCAGCUCGCUACACGAAUAUUGACUCUGAGGAGCGAAAGCGUGGGGAGCGAACAGG
This 253-nucleotide ribosomal RNA is filed under the name uncultured bacterium. RNAcentral describes it as "partial 16S ribosomal RNA". It matches the Rfam family "Bacterial small subunit ribosomal RNA", at positions 524 to 776 of the family's 1533-position model. The record is from RNAcentral.